ACGAACGCUGGCGGCGUGGAUAAGACAUGCAAGUCGAACGCUGACUUCAGGGUAGCAAUAUCUUGAAGUCGGAGUGGCGCAAGGGUGCGUAACACGUGGGCAAUCUACCGUGAAGCCUGGGAUAACUCGCUGAAAGGCGAGCUAAUACCGGAUGUGACAAUUUGAAGGCAUCUUCGAAUUUUCAAAGUUGGGGACCGUAAGGCCUGACGCUUGAUGAUGAGCCCGCGGCCUAUCAGCUAGUUGGUGAGGUAACGGCUCACCAAGGCUAAGACGGGUAGCUGGUCUGAGAGGACGACCAGUCACACUGGAACUGAGACACGGUCCAGACACCUACGGGUGCAGCAGUCGAGAAUUUUUCUCAAUGGGCGAAAGCCUGAAGGAGCGACGCCGCGUGGGGAUGAAU
Molecule: ribosomal RNA, 403 nt
Filed under: uncultured bacterium
Lineage: Bacteria
Description: bacterial SSU rRNA
Rfam family: Bacterial small subunit ribosomal RNA
Source: RNAcentral